Asterias rubens (European starfish) is the source of this 917-nucleotide long non-coding RNA. RefSeq lists it as uncharacterized. Lineage: Eukaryota; Metazoa; Echinodermata; Asteroidea; Forcipulatida; Asteriidae. The transcript is spliced from 3 exons. The record is from RefSeq and is a predicted model, not a curated record.
CCGUCUUGCCCGUGACAAAGUACCCGUCGUGUAAUGGGGUUGUGUCAGUGUAUAGAGGGUAAUGCAUCAAGUUUGUACUUAUAGAAGCGCAGAUUUCUUUUUAGUCCGGCGAGCCUGUCGUUGGUGGUUAGGUCUUUUGUCUCAGAUUCGUGCAAUGGUGAGCUACACCUGUGGCCCAAAACUGAGCUGCGAUAUCCGAUUGGUAGUCAACAAAUUUGUCUUCUACAACUGAAUCAAGCAUUGGACACGUUACAGUGAUGCAGAGUGACUUUAUCUAAAACAACAAAUAAUUGGCUCGGUUAAAGAGACUGUUGGAAGAAACAUUUUGUUGGUUUUUUGGUCACUAUGACAGUGAACCAAUAAUGGGUUUUGUUUAGCCUGCAAACUUUGGCGACUUUAACGGAAUAACAACAUUUGUGCACUUCUGCCGAAAACUGUUUUGACUGAGUGUGCCUUUACCUUUAACUUUUUGGAGUUAAAGUUACUGUUGGAUUAACAGAUUCUUGUCAGCUUUGUGCAGAGAUGCUGCAGUUUUUCUGGAGCCUGAACUGGCAUUUAACAAAUAUAUCCAGUGGAAUGCUAUCACGAAAGUGACUGACGGAAGACAAAACAGAGCGGUUAGUUUUACUACAGUGCGGACCACCAGUGACAACACAUAAGGAACGUGUGUGAGUGGUUGAGUGCCCGAGGCAGUACACAGUACAGUACGCACACACAGCGAAGGCGAAGGAUUCAUAACACACACUGACUGUCUGAUGGUCUCAGUCGGAGCUGCAGCUGGUCUCUCUCUGGAGAAAGGAAAUAAUUGUUUGGACAACAACGGUAUUGCUUUAUUUGUGACUGGACAUCUUGGAAACGGUAACACCUCAGAGAGAGGGACGCAGUGGAUGUCUGACGUCACAACGAGAAGAAUGUUU